UACGGGGGGGGGCAAGCGUUGUUCGGAAUUACUGGGCGUAAAGGGCUCGUAGGCGGCCAACUAAGUCAGACGUGAAAUCCCUCGGCUUAACCGGGGAACUGCAUCUGAUACUGGAUGGCUUGAGUUCGGGAGAGGGAUGCGGAAUUCCAGGUGUAGCGGUGAAAUUCGUAGAUAUCGGGAGGAACACCAGUGGCGAAGGCGGCGAUCUGGGGCAGAUACUGACGCUGAGGUGCGAAAGCGUGGGGAGCAAACAGG
This 255-nucleotide ribosomal RNA is filed under the name uncultured bacterium. RNAcentral describes it as "partial 16S ribosomal RNA". It matches the Rfam family "Bacterial small subunit ribosomal RNA", at positions 524 to 776 of the family's 1533-position model. The record is from RNAcentral.